Molecule: long non-coding RNA, 236 nt
Filed under: Trifolium pratense (red clover)
Lineage: Eukaryota; Viridiplantae; Streptophyta; Magnoliopsida; Fabales; Fabaceae
Description: long non-coding RNA (TPRA_LNC003459)
Source: RNAcentral
CGGUGAGGGAAUACUCACAAUCUGAAUCCGGUGAGGAAUACUCACAAUCUGAAUCCGGUGAGAGAAUACUCACAAUAUGACUAUUUGAAACUCUGAAGCCUGAAAUCUGAAGCCUGAAGUCCGAAGCUGAAGUCGAAUCUGGUUCCCUACUUCGGUUAAUGCAAUUAGUUAAUUUAGUUUAUUUUCAGGGUUGAUUUUGUGACAAGCUCCAAGCUUAGUAAACUUUACCUUGAGGG